Molecule: ribosomal RNA, 363 nt
Filed under: uncultured bacterium
Lineage: Bacteria
Description: bacterial SSU rRNA
Rfam family: Bacterial small subunit ribosomal RNA
Source: RNAcentral
GAUGAACGCUGGCGGCGUGCCUAACACAUGCAAGUCGAGCGAUUUACUUCGGUAAAGAGCGGCGGACGGGUGAGUAACGCGUGGGUAAACCUGCCCUGUACACACGGAUAACAUACCGAAAGGUAUGCUAAUACGAGAUAAUAUACUUUUAUCUCAUGGUAGAAGUAUCAAAGCUCUGGCGGUACAGGAUGGACCCGCGUCUGAUUAGCUAGUUGGUAAGGUAACGGCUUACCAAGGCGACGAUCAGUAGCCGACCUGAGAGGGUGAUCGGCCACAUUGGAACUGAGACACGGUCCAAACUCCUACGGGAGGCAGCAGUGGGGGAAUAUUGCACAAUGGGCGGAAAGACCUGAUGCAGCAACG